GAUGAAGAACGUAGCGAAAUGCGAUACGUAAUGUGAAUUGCAGAAUUCAGUGAAUCAUCGAAUCUUUGAACGCAUAUUGCGCUCUCUGGGAUUCCGGAGAGCAUGCUUGUUUGUGUAUCAGUAAACACCUCAACUUCCAUAUCUUUUUUGAAAUGGGAGUUGGACUUGAGUGAUCCCAACGCUUUUCCUCACCGAAAAGUGGCGGGUUACUUGAAAUGCAGGUGCAGCUGGACUUUUCUCUGAGCUAUAAGCAUAUCUAUUUAGUCUGCCUAAAAAACAGAUUAUUACCUUUGCUGCAGCUAACAUAAAGGAGAUUAGUUCUUGUGCUGACUGAUGCAGGAUUCACAAAGACAGGCUUCGGCCGACUUUGUAAACUCGAUCUCAAAUCAAGUAAGACUACCCGCUGAACUUAAGCAUAUCAAUAAGCGGAGGA
Molecule: unclassified non-coding RNA, 433 nt
Filed under: soil metagenome
Description: partial contains 5.8S ribosomal RNA, internal transcribed spacer 2, and large subunit ribosomal RNA
Rfam family: 5.8S ribosomal RNA (bases 1-120)
Source: RNAcentral